GUAGGUGGCAAGCGUUGUCCGGAAUUAUUGGGCGUAAAGCGCGCGCAGGCGGUUCUUUAAGUCUGAUGUGAAAGCCCACGGCUCAACCCGUGGAGGGUCAUUGGAAACUGGAGAACUUGAGUACAGAAGAGGAAAGCGGAAUUCCACGUGUAGCGGUGAAAUGCGUAGAGAUGUGGAGGAACACCAGUGGCGAAGGCGGCUUUCUGGUCUGUAACUGACGCUGAGGCGCGAAAGCGUGGGGAGCAAACAGGGAUUAGAUACCCUGGUAGUCCACGCCGUAAACGAUGAGUGCUAAUGUUAGGGGGGUUUUCCGCCCCCCUUAGUGCUGCAGCUAACGCAUUAAGCACUCCGCCUGGGGGUUACGCCGCAAGGCUG
Molecule: ribosomal RNA, 375 nt
Filed under: uncultured organism
Description: partial 16S ribosomal RNA
Rfam family: Bacterial small subunit ribosomal RNA
Source: RNAcentral